AUUGAACGCUGGCGGCAUGCCUUACACAUGCAAGUCGAACGGUAACGGGCCUUCGGGUGCCGCCGAGUGGCGAACGGGUGAGUAAUACAUCGGAACGUGCCCGAUCGUGGGGGAUAACGAGGCGAAAGCUUUGCUAAUACCGCAUACGAUCUACGGAUGAAAGCGGGGGACCGCAAGGCCUCGCGCGGACGGGGCGGCCGAUGGCAGAUUAGGUAGUUGGUGGGAUAAAAGCGGACCAAGCCGACGAUCUGUAGCUGGUCUGAGAGGAUGAUCAGCCACACUGGAACUGAGACACGGCCCAGACUCCUACGGGAGGCAGCAGUGGGGAAUUUUGGACAAUGGGCGCAAGCCUGAUCCAGCCAUGCCGCGUGCAGGAUGAAGGCCUUCGGGUUGUAAACUGCUUUUGUACGGAACGAAAAGCCUUCUUUUAAUACAGGAGGGUCAUGACGGUACCGUAAGAAUAAGCACCGGCUAACUACGUG
This 482-nucleotide ribosomal RNA is filed under the name uncultured bacterium. RNAcentral's name for it is "partial 16S ribosomal RNA". It matches the Rfam family "Bacterial small subunit ribosomal RNA", at positions 30 to 507 of the family's 1533-position model. The record is from RNAcentral.